GUUCAAUCCUUUUCCCAAUUUGCAUAUAAACUCAUUUGCAAAAACUGAAAGAAAAUCUAUUCCUAGCUAUGCCUACUGUACACAAAAUCCCUGGCAAUAUUCCUAAAUACAAUUUGAAAAAAACUUCCAGCUAUUACAUUUAAAAUAAAGUACCGUAACAUCAAAAGCAGUGAUUUUUUUUUGUAAAGUGCACUUUUGGGAAAGACCCACAUUCAUUUUCCAUACACA
Non-coding RNA from Pelobates cultripes (western spadefoot toad), 228 nucleotides. NCBI's taxonomy places the organism in Eukaryota, Metazoa, Chordata, Amphibia, Anura, Pelobatidae. The record is from the annotation of a GenBank genome assembly.